GGGUUGUAAACUUCUUUUAUACGGGAAUAAAGUGAGGCACGCGUGCCUUUUUGUAUGUACCGUAUGAAUAAGGAUCGGCUAACUCCGUGCCAGCAGCCGCGGUAAUACGGAGGAUCCGAGCGUUAUCCGGAUUUAUUGGGUUUAAAGGGAGCGUAGGCGGACGCUUAAGUCAGUUGUGAAAGUUUGCGGCUCAACCGUAAAAUUGCAGUUGAUACUGGGUGUCUUGAGUACAGUAGAGGCAGGCGGAAUUCGUGGUGUAGCGGUGAAAUGCUUAGAUAUCACGAAGAACUCCGAUUGCGAAGGCAGCUUGCUGGACUGUAACUGACGCUGAUGCUCGAAAGUGUGGGUAUCAAACAGGAUUAGAUACCCUGGUAGUCCACACAGUAAA
Molecule: ribosomal RNA, 388 nt
Filed under: uncultured bacterium
Lineage: Bacteria
Description: bacterial SSU rRNA
Rfam family: Bacterial small subunit ribosomal RNA
Source: RNAcentral